AGAGUUUGAUCCUGGCUCAGGAUGAACGCUAGCGGCAGGCUUAACACAUGCGAGUCGAGGGGCAGCAUGUCCAGCAAUGGAUGAUGGCGACCGGCGGAAGGGUGCGUAACGCGUGAGCAACAUGCCCUAUACAGGGAGAUACACCAGGGAAACUUGGUCUAAUAUCCCAUAGCAUUCAUUGAAGGCAUCUUUAAUGAAUUAAAGCUUCGGUGGUAUAGGAUUGGCUCGCGUGACAUUAGCCAGAUGGUGAGGUAACGGCUCACCAUAGCAAUGAUGUCUAGGGGUUUUGAGAGGAAGGCCCCCCACACUGGGACUGAGACACGGCCCAGACUCCUACGGGAGGCAGCAGUGAGGAAUAUUGGACAAUGGAUGGAAAUCUGAUCCAGCCAUGCCGCGUGCAGGAAGACGGCCUUAUGGGUUGUAAACUGCUUUUAUACGGGAGCAAUAAGGGUUACGAGUAAUCCGAUGAGAGUACUGUAUGAAUAAGGAUCGGCUAACUCCGUGCCAGCAGCCGCGGUAAUACGGAGGAUCCGAGCGUUAUUCGGAUUUAUUGGGUUUAAAGGGUGCGUAGGCGGAAAUGUAAGUCAGUGGUGAAAUCCUGCAGCUUAACUGUAGAAUAGCCGUUGAAACUGUGUUUCUUGAGUACAUUUGAGGUAGGCGGAAUGUGGUGUGUAGCGGUGAAAUGCAUAGAUAUACCACAGAACACCGAUUGCGAAGGCAGCUUACUAAACUGUCACUGACGCUGAUGCACGAAAGCGUGGGUAUCAAACAGGAUUAGAUACCCUGGUAGUCCACGCUGUAAACGAUGAUUACUGGUUGUUUGCGAUACACUGCAAGUGACUGAGCGAAAGCAUUAAGUAAUCCACCUGGGGAGUACGUCGGCAACGAUGAAACUCAAAGGAAUUGACGGGGGCCCGCACAAGCGGAGGAACAUGUGGUUUAAUUCGAUGAUACGCGAGGAACCUUACCUGGGUUUAAAUGGGGAGUGACAGGCUUGGAAACAGGCCCUUCUUCGGACACUCUUCAAGGUGCUGCAUGGUUGUCGUCAGCUCGUGCCGUGAGGUGUCGGGUUAAGUCCCAUAACGAGCGCAACCCCUAUCGAUAGUUACCAGCACGUUACGGUGGGGACUCUAUCGAGACUGCCGGUGUAAACCGUGAGGAGGGUGGGGAGGACGUCAAAUCAGCACGGCCCUUACAUCCAGGGCUACACACGUGUUACAAUGGGGGGUACAGUGGGAAGCUACCUGGCGACAGGUUGCGGAUCCCCAAAUCCUUUCUCAGUUCGGAUCGGAGUCUGUAACUCGACUCCGUGAAGUUGGAUUCGCUAGUAAUCGCGCAUCAGCCAUGGCGCGGUGAAUACGUUCCCGGGCCUUGCACUCACCGCCCGUCAAG
Molecule: ribosomal RNA, 1392 nt
Filed under: uncultured bacterium
Lineage: Bacteria
Description: bacterial SSU rRNA
Rfam family: Bacterial small subunit ribosomal RNA
Source: RNAcentral